AUUGAACGCUGGCGGCAGGCCUAACACAUGCAAGUCGAGCGAGCGGCGGACGGGUGAGUAAUGCCUAGGAAUCUGCCUGGUAGUGGGGGAUAACGUCCGGAAACGGGCGCUAAUACCGCAUACCAUCGGAUGUGCCCAGAUGGGAUUAGCUAGUAGGUGGGGUAACGGCUCACCUAGGCGACGAGCCCUAGCUGGUCUGAGAGGAGGACCAGCCACACAGGAACGUAGACACGGUCCAGACUCCUACGGGAGGCAGCAGUGGGGAAUAUUGCACAAUGGGUGAAAGCCUGAUGCAGCCAUGCCGCGUGGAUGAAGAAGGCCUUCGGGUUGUAAAGUACUUUCAGCGGGGAGGCGUUAACCGCAGAAGAAGCACCGGCUAACUCCGUGCCAGCAGCGGCGGUAAUAC
Molecule: ribosomal RNA, 406 nt
Filed under: uncultured bacterium
Lineage: Bacteria
Description: partial 16S ribosomal RNA
Rfam family: Bacterial small subunit ribosomal RNA
Source: RNAcentral